CCUUCGAAAAGGCAACGCGACCGCAAGGUCGCCGCGCAAAGCGAGGGGUCUCCGUGGCUCCUGAGACCGCCCCGCUGCCGAA
RNAcentral lists this non-coding RNA (82 nucleotides) under Gemmatimonadota bacterium. RNAcentral describes it as "Gemmatimonadetes bacterium c-di-GMP sequence". It matches the Rfam family "c-di-GMP-I riboswitch aptamer". From Rfam's summary of the family: GEMM was predicted in a large-scale screen for bacterial structured RNA regulatory elements. Genes associated with GEMM are involved in a diverse array of functions, including chemotaxis regulation, signal transduction, secretion and chitin. Lineage: Bacteria; Pseudomonadati; Gemmatimonadota. The record is from RNAcentral.